CUAUGAGAGCCUGACAGACCCUUCCA
RNAcentral lists this non-coding RNA (26 nucleotides) under Cricetulus griseus (Chinese hamster). The record is from RNAcentral. Lineage: Eukaryota; Metazoa; Chordata; Mammalia; Rodentia; Cricetidae.